This is a long non-coding RNA of Pogonomyrmex barbatus (red harvester ant), 977 nucleotides long. The record is from RefSeq and is a predicted model, not a curated record. NCBI's taxonomy places the organism in Eukaryota, Metazoa, Arthropoda, Insecta, Hymenoptera, Formicidae.
CUUUCUAGCAAUUCAAGACAUCUUUUUUUAACCAAAGUGAUAGUAAUUUAGUUUUAAAAUAUUAUUAUAUCACAAAAUUGCUUUAUUCUAUACAACUCUAUACAACCUACGUUUUUAAAGAAUUAAAGAAUAAUAAUACAAAAUAAAUGAUAAAAUUUUAGUCUUACUGAUGUUUGAUUUUAUGUGUGGAGUGGAUUUUGCUGUUGAUUGUGAAGGCAAGUGUGAUUGUGCGAGAGUGAAUGGAAAUACGAGAGUGUUGCCUGCUGUGCUUGUGAGUAUUCCAAUGAGUGGCUGGAGCGAUUCUGGUAAACGCUGUCAUGCGAGAGGCGUAAGGCUCUGGACAUCUUCUCCCAGUAUUGAAAUGUCUUGUUAAUAUUGAGUAUCGAGAUUGAUCUAUAUAGGAUGCCAAUGUGUUGUUUUCCUCUUUGAUUGUGGAUAUUACAUAUGCAAUGUCCUGUUUUGUGAAAAGUUGUAGCAAUUAUUAUUGAAAAACAAAAUUACUUGACGGGAACAGCUUAAAAUACUUUUGUUUCCAAAAGAUUUUACGAUCGCAACUAAGUGGCUUGCAAUAUGCGAAAAACAAAACGUUAACAUUACAAAAGAUAUGAUAUAUUCAGAUAUAUUCUCAACACUUUGAUGCAUCAUGCUUUGUACAGCCAUCGAAAGAAAAGUCGCUUUUCUAUUCUCAGAAAAGACUGACAAAAUUGAAAGUAGAUGCAAUGUUACAUUUAAUGUUUGACCGCAAGUGGAAGCUGCUCAUUUUGAUAAAGAACCAUUGCCAUUAAUUGAUAAAUUAGAUAUGAAAGAAUCAACAUGCAAUGACAUCAACUUUUGAAUCACAAUGCAACGAUACAGUGCUAUCUGACACAUUUGGCAAUGAUAUACCUGUGCCAUAAGGAAUCCAGUCGAUUCAGAAUACUACCAUCUACAUUGCAGAUAAUUAAUCGAACCAUUGCUCUAGAAAAUAGAUAUAAAAA